UUAUAAUUAAUAUAUUUUGAAUAUUAAUAAUUAUAUUACGACAGUAAAUAUACAUAUUCAUCCUACCAAACCCUAAAUUUAUCCUCAUUCAUUCAUUUCAUUUUCUCUUUCUAUAUCUAACAUUCAAUGGGUUUCGUUCCUCUCAUAUUCUCUCUAUUCCUCUUCUCUCUUCCCCCUCUCUCAUACCUCUAUACCUUCUUUCAAAUCUCACAGUCGAUGGAAGAUGGCCGCCGAAAGAUCUUGGUUGAACAAAAUUUACAGUGACGGUCACCCUACUGUUCGGCGCUGCAUCACAGCGUGUGAGGUACCUCAAUUUCAGUAGGCACUACAUCACUGCGAACCUUAACAGGUGGUGAUCGUGGCAGCGAUAGCGAUUCGAAGAAAUCGAUGUACGACUAUGGGGAAGAUGGUUCGGCGGCUACAAAUGAUGAUUUUAUGUGGAUCUAGGGCAAAUGUGGUGGUAGUGGUUUUGAUUUUAGAUUUGAUAUCGAUGUGUAUAGGUUGUGUUGGCGGCGGUGUUAAUGGUUGUGUAGGUUUUGGAUUGGUGGAGGCUCCAUUGAAUCAACCAAGUGGUGCAAACGGGUGCUAUUGUAGUAGUGGUGUUGUGUGCAGUGCGAUGGUGGUGUUGUGUGCAGUGUAGUGAUUAGGUGGUGGUGGGGCUGUGAGUACGGUGUGUUGUGUGCGGUGCAGUGGUUAGGUGGUGGUGGGGCUGUGAGUACGGUGUGUUGUAUGCGGUGCAGUGGUUAGGUAGUGGCGGUGUUGUGGUGCGGUGUGUUGUGAGAUGGUGAUGUCGACGUGGUGGUGGCUCUAGUAGUUUAGUGAUGCCGAUCGAUUGUCCUACGAUGGUGGGUAUGGCUCUGCGAUGGUGGUGUUGACGAUGGUGUGGUGGUGGCUCUAGUUGUCGCCAUUUUCGCUGUUGUGGUAAUGAAUCGUUGGUGUGUUGUGGUGUUGACAUGUUGUUAUGAGGUGGUGGUGGCUUUGUUGGCGGCGGUGCUCCGUUCUUAUGGUGGCAAAGAUGGUGAUAGUGAUGGUAGAUGUGGCGGUCGCGGGGUGGGAGGAAAUGGGGUUGUAUGUUUGUGACCAAUUAUUUGAUUGAUCGUGACUAACAAUUGAUGAAUUUGUAAUAUGUGACCUAAAAAUUGUGACUGUAAUUCGCAAUUGAUUAAGCUGUGAAUGAACAAUUAAUUGUAACCAAUUAAUCUAUUAAUUUGUAAUGAAUAAAUAAGUUGUGACCAAUAAAAGUUUUGAUUCUAUGACCAAUGAAAAUCUGUGACCUACAAUUUUUUUUUAUCGUGACUGAAAAAUAACAUGUGACCUACAAAAUUUUUUAUCGUGACUAAAAAAUAACAUGUGACCUAUAAAAUUUUUCAUUUGUGACCGAAAAAUAAGUUGUGACUAAUUAAUUUUUGAUUUAUGAUCGAUGAACAAAUUGUGACCUGUACAAUUUUUGAAUUGUGAUCGUAUAAUAAUUUAUGACAUAAAAUUUCUAAUUUGUGACCAAAAAUCAAUAAGUAACUAACUAAAUCGUUAAUUUAUGACCAAAUUUUACAGAUCUAUGACC
Molecule: long non-coding RNA, 1561 nt
Filed under: Olea europaea subsp. europaea
Lineage: Eukaryota; Viridiplantae; Streptophyta; Magnoliopsida; Lamiales; Oleaceae
Source: RNAcentral